CCAAUAGCGUAUAUUAAAGUUGUUGCAGUUAAAAAGCUCGUAGUUGAAUUUCGGGGUUAGUAGGUUGGUCAUGCCUCUGGUAUGUACUGGUCUCACUGAUUCCUCCUUCCUGAUGAACCUUAAUGCCAUUAAUUUGGUGUUUCGGGGAAUUUGGACUGUUACUUUGAAAAAAUUAGAGUGUUUAAAGCAAGCUAACGCUUGAAUACAUUAGCAUGGAAUAAUGAAAUAGGACGUUCGAUCCUAUUUUGUUGGUUUCUAGGAUUGACGUAAUGAUUAAUAGGGAUAGUUGGGGGCAUUAGUAUUCAAUUGUCAGAGGUGAAAUUCUUGGAUUUAUUGAAGACUAACUACUGCGAAAGCAUUUGCCAAGGAUGUUUUCAUUAAUCAAGAACGAAAGUUAGGGGAUCGAAGACGAUCAGAUACCGUCGUAGUCUUAACCAUAAACUAUGCCGACUAGGGAUCGGAUGAUGUUAAUUUUUUAAUGACUCAUUCGGCGCCUUACG
Molecule: ribosomal RNA, 500 nt
Filed under: uncultured Glomeromycotina
Lineage: Eukaryota; Fungi; Glomeromycota
Description: partial small subunit ribosomal RNA
Rfam family: Eukaryotic small subunit ribosomal RNA
Source: RNAcentral